This is a small nucleolar RNA of Peromyscus maniculatus bairdii (prairie deer mouse), 134 nucleotides long. Lineage: Eukaryota; Metazoa; Chordata; Mammalia; Rodentia; Cricetidae. The record is from Ensembl.
AUCCUCUACUUCCCUUUCCCAUUGGAUCCCAGGACUGGUUUGGGUGGUCCUAAAGAAGAAAAGGCAUAGUGGAGGAAGCUGGCCUCCCAACGUUGUAGUCUGCUGCAGGGCGUGCAGGCCAUAUUGAAACAGGC